AGUGAACGCUGGCGGUAGGCCUAACACAUGCAAGUCGAACGGCAGCACAGUAAUAGCUUGCUCUUACGGGUGGCGAGUGGCGGACGGGUGAGGAAUACAUCGGAAUCUACUUUUUCGUGGGGGAUAACGUAGGGAAACUUACGCUAAUACCGCAUACGACCUACGGGUGAAAGCAGGGGAUCUUCGGACCUUGCGCGAUUGAAUGAGCCGAUGUCGGAUUAGCUAGUUGGCGGGGUAAAGGCCCACCAAGGCGACGAUCCGUAGCUGGUCUGAGAGGAUGAUCAGCCACACUGGAACUGAGACACGGUCCAGACUCCUACGGGAGGCAGCAGUGGGGAAUAUUGGACAAUGGGCGCAAGCCUGAUCCAGCCAUACCGCGUGGGUGAAGAAGGCCUUCGGGUUGUAAAGCCCUUUUGUUGGGAAAGAAAAGCAGCAGGUUAAUACCCCGCUGUUCUGACGUUACCCAAAGAAUAAGCACCGGCUAACUUCGUG
RNAcentral lists this ribosomal RNA (492 nucleotides) under uncultured bacterium. Its description in RNAcentral is "partial 16S ribosomal RNA". It matches the Rfam family "Bacterial small subunit ribosomal RNA", at positions 29 to 507 of the family's 1533-position model. The record is from RNAcentral.